Molecule: small RNA, 25 nt
Filed under: Arabidopsis thaliana (thale cress)
Lineage: Eukaryota; Viridiplantae; Streptophyta; Magnoliopsida; Brassicales; Brassicaceae
Description: ATSL285270
Source: RNAcentral
AUCCUCUGUUUUGUCUUUUCAUGGU